RNAcentral lists this ribosomal RNA (462 nucleotides) under uncultured archaeon. Its description in RNAcentral is "bacterial SSU rRNA". It matches the Rfam family "Archaeal small subunit ribosomal RNA", at positions 324 to 788 of the family's 1478-position model. The record is from RNAcentral.
UACGGGGCGCAGCAGGCGCGAAACCUUCGCAAUGCGCGAAAGCGUGACGAGGUUAAUCCGAGUGACUCCCGCUGAGGGGGUCUUUUGUCAGCUGUAAAUAGGCAGGCGAAUAAGGGGAGGGCAAGCCUGGUGUCAGCCGCCGCGGUAAUACCAGCUCCUCGAGUGGUCGGGGCGAUUAUUGGGCCUAAAGCAUCCGUAGCCGGUUCCGUAGGUCCUCUGUUAAAUCCAACCGCUUAACGGUUGACCUGCAGAGGAUACCGCGGGACUAGGAGGCGGGAGAGGCGGACGGUACUCCGCGUGUAGGGGUAAAAUCCUUUGAUCCGCGGAAGACCACCAGUGGCGAAGGCGGUCCGCCAGAACGCGCUCGACGGUGAGGGAUGAAAGCUGGGGGAGCGAACCGGAUUAGAUACCCGGGUAGUCCCAGCCGUAAACGAUGCUAGCUCGAGGAAUCAUCGGCAAGUC